This 469-nucleotide ribosomal RNA is filed under the name uncultured bacterium. Its description in RNAcentral is "partial 16S ribosomal RNA". It matches the Rfam family "Bacterial small subunit ribosomal RNA", at positions 28 to 507 of the family's 1533-position model. The record is from RNAcentral.
GACGAACGCUGGCGGCGUGCUUAACACAUGCAAGUCGAACGGAAAGGCCCUGCUUGCCGGGUGCUCGAGUGGCGAACGGGUGAGUAACACGUGGGUGAUCUGCCCCUUACUUUGGGAUAAGCCUGGGAAACUGGGUCUAAUACUGGAUAGGACCAUGCUGUAGGUGGUGUGGUGGAAAGAUUAGUUUCGGUAAGGGAUGAGCUCGCGGCCUAUCAGCUUGUUGGUGGGGUAAUGGCCUACCAAGGCGUCGACGGGUAGCCGGCCUGAGAGGGUGGACGGCCACAUUGGGACUGAGAUACGGCCCAGACUCCUACGGGAGGCAGCAGUGGGGAAUAUUGCACAAUGGGCGCAAGCCUAAUGCAGCGACGCCGCGUGGGAGAUGACGGCCUUCGGGUUGUAAACUCCUUUCAGCCAUGACGAAGCCCUUGUGGUGACGGUAGUGGUAGAAGAAGCACCGGCUAACUACGUG